Molecule: long non-coding RNA, 2277 nt
Organism: Capra hircus (goat)
Lineage: Eukaryota; Metazoa; Chordata; Mammalia; Artiodactyla; Bovidae
Exons: 4
Source: RefSeq, a predicted model, not a curated record
GAUUUCCUGGAAGCUGGCUGUCCAUCAAUGUGUAUGUAAGAUGUGUUAUGAGUAUGAUGCUUCCAUAUACGUUUGGAUGUUUUCAGCUAAGUUCACUUCUGAACUAUGGGGUUCCUCCAAGUGUUGACUGAAAUCUGUCCUUGAGCAUCCCCACACUCAUCUAAUCUACAGUCCAUAAUGGAGCCACUGUACUGGCUUUUGGAAGGAGGAGAUUCUGAAGAUAGGGAGAUUCAGCAAUCAGUCUUUGAAAUUUCCUGUGGUCUGUUCAAUCUAGAUGCAAAGGACAUGGAAAAAUCAAGUGCUCAAGUGGUUUAAAUAUGUUUUGGAUAUUCUUAUUUAUAGAUUACAGGAUUUUUCCAAUUAAAAUCCACAGUUGUCAUGCAGAAGGAGGUUAUGCCCUUCUUGAUCACCAGUUUUAUUUGAAAUGCUUAGCAUUAUAGUGUUACUGAAUGCUGUUUUAAUCAAAGUAUAGAAAAAAUAAAAUCAAUUUUAUAUGUUGACUUUUUUUCUAAAAUGACUUUAUUGAACUAAAUGAAUGUUUAAACCUGAAAAAGAGGGUUCCCCCCGAGAAAAAUCAUUUUCUCCAUUAUAGCAAUUCUUCUGGCAAUCUGAUAUCAUUAGAAUAGGUUUAAAAUCACUUUCUAAUGUGACCCUAUUAUAUUUAUGGAAGAAGAAAGACUUAAAAGGUAUCCAUAUAUAUUAUUUUAAUUCUCUAUAGUAGUCCCUCUGGAAUGAAACAUUUUCUUUUAAAAACAUCUAUUAGCUCAACUCAGGUAUGAGGGAAAAAUCAUCUCAACUGGCAGAGCAUUUGUUACGUGUUUGAGUAUUUGGUUUCUAUAAAGGUUGACAUCCAGUCUUCCACAGAGUUCUUAUAUUUGGGCAGACUGAAUAAUGAGGGGUUGCCUUGUCACUGGGAAAUUCCUUGUUGUGGCCUUUGUGGUGGCUGAAGGAAAACGGAAGGAUUCCUCUGUGGCAGGCAGGCCUCUGGCUUCGGCGGUGUGAACACUGUCAAGGGGUAUGUCUGACCAGGGGUAGCCCUUAGUGAGGGGACUGGAGAGAUGCACAGAUGUGCUGACACCCGAAAAAGUAGUGGUGAGUGACUGUUUUGUACGUGACACAGUUUGUGCUUCAUCCACUUCUAUAGUUUUCACAAAAUCCUAUGAUAAAUUCUUAAGUGCAGAUCUCCGUACAGCAAAGUAAAUUUCUUAGGCUAGAAUAUUUUUUAUUUUUAAUUAAACUUUAUAUUUUGAGAUAAUUACAGAUUUCACAUGCAGCUUUACUAAAUAAUGGAGCAGUCCUCUGUACCUUUCGUUAGUAAGUUUCCCCUCAGUAGGGAAAGUAUCACAACCUGGACACUGGCGUCAUUACAGCCCAGAUGCAGAGCUUCCAUCCCCAGAAGGACUCCUCACUCUGUCCUUUCAUAGUCAUACAUGCUUCUCUCCUGCUCCUCCUCCUUUAGCAUCACUAGGCUGUUCUCCUUUCCUAUAAUUUUUUUUCUUUUCAAGGAUGGUCUAUAAAUGGAAUCACAUAGUAUAUAACCUCUUGGGAUUGACUUUUCUCUCUCAGCACAAUUUUCUGGAGAUUCAACUUGGAUGUAUCAAUAUUCUGUUCUUUUUAUGGUUGGGUAAUAUCCCAUGGUAUGGUUGCCCCACAGUUUGUUUAACCAUUGUACCAGUUGAGACUUCAGUUUUGUUUCUGGUUUUUCACCAUUAUGAAUAAAACUGCUGUAAACAUGCAUGUACAGAUUUUUAUGUGAACAUAAGUUUUCAUUUUCCUGGGAUAAAUGCCCAGGAGUGUGAUUGUGGGUCAUAUGAUAAUUACAUAGAAUCUUUUUAAGACUAGAAUUGAUUUUGUGUGUAUGGAAGGGGAGACAAAGAGAACAUCUACAUUUUUGUGGUAUUUUUGCUUUAACUGGAUUUGUCUAUGAUUUCAAAACAUACAGACUAUUUUAAAUAACUUGUAGCUAGAUAUAAAAAAAAAUUUUUCUACAAACUAGAUUUUGUUCUUAUUUCUAGAGAAAUACUUUUGAGAAAAAACUGACUUUUUUUGGCGGGGGUGGGGUGUAAGCAAUUUCUGUGUAAAGGAAUAAAGGUAGACAUACACUAUAGAAAAGUGCUGCAAAGCUGACAGGUUACUUGGGGAAAUUUUCCGAGUGUUAAUAGAGACUUGACAUUCAAGGGUAUAUUGUAAUAGUUUUUCAAUUUGUAGACUUUAACUUUUGUCACUGCCAUGGUGCCUGCAGAUUUUAUUUGUAGAAUAAAUUCAUUAUCUUUAUAA